This 583-nucleotide ribosomal RNA is filed under the name uncultured fungus. Its description in RNAcentral is "eukaryotic LSU rRNA". The stretch from base 244 to 397 matches the Rfam family "5.8S ribosomal RNA". The record is from RNAcentral. Lineage: Eukaryota; Fungi.
UCCGUAGGUGAACCUGCGGAAGGAUCAUUACAAAGUUCCCGGCCUCGCGGCCAACCUUACUGGAGGACAGCCCCGGGGAUUCCCUCUCCGCGGCUGCUGACAGUUUACCCACUGUGAAAACCCUUGUUGCUUCGGCAGCGCCUCCCCGUCCGCGGGGAGGGUCAGCCUGCCGGCAGCACAACAGAUAAAACCCUUUGUGAACCGGUAAAGAAACGUCUGAGAGCGCAGUCGAAUGACACAUAAAACUUUCAACAACGGAUCUCUUGGUUCCCGCAUCGAUGAAGAACGCAGCGAAACGCGAUAGUUAAUGUGAAUUGCAGAAUUCAGUGAAUCAUCGAGUCUUUGAACGCACAUUGCGCCUUUUGGUAUUCCGAGAGGCACGUCUGUUUGAGCGUCAGCAAAACCCUCCGGCCUCCCGUUUGUUCGGGGGCACGGGUCAGCUGCGCGGGGACUGGCCGCCGCGCUUCGGUGCGGGCGGGCCUUCCCCCGCUUAAAGGUGUGGAAGCUAGCGGGUGCUCCCCGGAUCGCGACGACUCGUAAGCACUUACUGUCGAAGGCAUCCGGACGCCCCUGCCUCAAACCG